This 65-nucleotide transfer RNA is filed under the name Ictidomys tridecemlineatus (thirteen-lined ground squirrel). RNAcentral describes it as "Spermophilus tridecemlineatus (thirteen-lined ground squirrel) tRNA". It matches the Rfam family "tRNA". From Rfam's summary of the family: Transfer RNA (tRNA) molecules are approximately 80 nucleotides in length. Their secondary structure includes four short double-helical elements and three loops (D, anti-codon, and T loops). Lineage: Eukaryota; Metazoa; Chordata; Mammalia; Rodentia; Sciuridae. The record is from Rfam by way of RNAcentral.
CAUGUGGCCCAGUGGUAGAGUGUGUGCUUACUGUGUUUAAGGCUCUGGGUUCAAUCCCCAGCAUG